CCGCCUUUCUCCGCUGGCACCGGCGCUGCUCUCUGCUCCUCUCCGGCGAUGGCGUUCACGUUCGCGGCCUUCUGCUACAUGCUGGCGCUGCUGCUCACCGCCGCACUCAUCUUUUUCGCCAUCUGGCACAUUAUAGCAUUUGAUGAGCUGAAGACUGAUUACAAGAAUCCCAUAGACCAGUGUAAUACCCUGAAUCCUCUUGUACUUCCAGAGUACCUCAUCCAUGCUUUCUUCUGUGCCAUGUUUCUUUGUGCAGUAGAGUGGCUUACACUGGGUCUCAAUAUGCCCCUCUUGGCAUAUCAUAUUUGGAGGUAUAUGAGUAGGCCAGUGAUGAGUGGACCAGGACUCUAUGACCGUACAACCAUCAUGAAUGCAGAUAUUCUAGCAUAUUGUCAGAAAGAAGGAUGGUGCAAAUUAGCUUUUUAUCUUCUAGCAUUUUUUUACUACCUAUAUGGCAUGAUCUAUGUUUUGGUGAGCUCUUAGAACAACACACAGAAGACUCGGUCCAGUUAAGUGCAUGCAAAAAGCCACCAGAUGAAGGGAUUCUACCCAGCAAGAUCCUGUUUCCAAGAGUAGCCUAUGGAAUCUGAUCAGUUACUUUAAAAAAAUGACUCCUUAUUUUUUAAAUGCUUCCACAUUUUUUGCUUGUGGAAAGACUGUUUUCAUAUGUUAUACUCAGAUAAAGAAUUUAAAUGGAAUUACAUAUAAAUUAAUAUAAAAUGAUUACCUCCGGUAUUGACAGGUUGGAACUUGCACUCCUUAAGGAACAGCCAUAAUCCUCUGAAUGAUUGCAUUAAUUACUGAUUGUCCUUAGUCCACUGGAAGCUUUUGUUUAUAGGAAUUGGUAGGGCUCAUUUUGGUUUUAUUGAAACGACAUCUAAUUAUAAAUUAG
Propithecus coquereli (Coquerel's sifaka) is the source of this 892-nucleotide RNA transcript. It is a transcript of the gene named protein cornichon homolog 1 pseudogene, with no coding region annotated. Lineage: Eukaryota; Metazoa; Chordata; Mammalia; Primates; Indriidae. The record is from RefSeq and is a predicted model, not a curated record. The transcript has a single exon.